AAAAGAUCUAGCUAUUAUCUGAUAGCGAGAUAGUGAGCGCGAACAAAGUCGAGUGUCGCGAUGUUGCUGCAAACUCGUUAAUAUUGCACAACCAUUAUCGUGCCGGACGAUUAAAAAUAUUUCAAUGUUAGACUCCGAUGUUGACGAUUAACGCACGCAGUACUAGUUUGUUACACAAGCUCAGAAGCUUCGUGAUUCGUCCCCGCCAAGUUGUAUCAUUUUUUUACACACGAACAGAAACACAACGGAAGCAACGAUAAGUCGAAGACAAACGAGAGCAAAUAGAACUUCGCGCGAACGAGUGAAUAUUCUAAAGUGGAAUGAAACAUACAGAAAGAAAUUAUCACCUCUCGAAAUUGAACAAAAGGAUAAAAUUAAAUCCACUCACGACAAAUCACGAUGAACAUUGAAUUAUAUUCGAAAAACUGCACCGUGCCUCUUCUCUGUGUCUUUCGAGACGCAGCUGACAAAAUUAAUUCUACAUACUUCGGCACGAAACAAAGCAACGUUCCGGGGGGGGAGUACUCGGACUCGCCCUUUAUCGAUUUCGAGGGAAACUUGAAGAUAAAGUAACUGCCUCGGCAAAUCCCUAUUUUUCGGCCUGGGCGCGACCUGGGUGUCUCCACUCGGCAACGGUGGCUUAAUGCCGUCUAGACCGGAUGGGUCGCGAGUAUAUUCGUCAAGUGGAAUCGCCUAUUACGUCCCUCGAAAUCGGCAUGCGUUUAAGAGAAAACUGGCUGCAGGACAAGCCAGUCCCCGGGAAGAAAGAGAAAAGGAGCCGAUAGGAAGUAACGAAAGA
Long non-coding RNA from Frieseomelitta varia, 799 nucleotides. RefSeq lists it as uncharacterized. The record is from RefSeq and is a predicted model, not a curated record. NCBI's taxonomy places the organism in Eukaryota, Metazoa, Arthropoda, Insecta, Hymenoptera, Apidae. The transcript has 2 exons.